This 442-nucleotide ribosomal RNA is filed under the name uncultured bacterium. Its description in RNAcentral is "partial 16S ribosomal RNA". It matches the Rfam family "Bacterial small subunit ribosomal RNA", at positions 338 to 795 of the family's 1533-position model. The record is from RNAcentral.
CCUACGGGUGGCAGCAGUGGGGAAUAUUGGGCAAUGGGCGCAAGCCUGACCCAGCAACGCCGCGUGAAGGAAGAAGGCUUUCGGGUUGUAAACUUCUUUUGUCAGGGAAGAGUAGAAGACGGUACCUGACGAAUAAGCCACGGCUAACUACGUUCCAGCAGCCGCGGUAAUACGUAGGUGGCAAGCGUUGUCCGGAUUUACUGGGUGUAAAGGGCGUGUAGCCGGGUUGACAAGUCAGAUGUGAAAUCCUGCGGCUUAACCGCAGAACUGCAUGUGAAAUUGUUGAUCUUGAGUACUGGAGAGGCAGACGGAAUUCCUAGUGUAGCGGUGAAAUGCGGAGAUAUUAGGAGGAACACCAGGGGCGAAGGCGGUCUGCUGGACAGCAACUGACGGUGAGGCGCGAAAGCGUGGGGAGCAAACAGGAUUAGAUACCCGUGUAGUC